GAGAAAUGUUAGGUUGUAAACCAGAGCACCCCACCCCAGACUACAAUGUUCCACAGUUUUUAAAGAGGUCCUGCCACCUCAGCAGUUCAGCCAGACUCCAGAAGGAGCCUGGGACUUUGAACUGUCAUGGACUGGUCAAAGAGGAUGUGUUUCUGUGAUGAACGUAUGGUGGAUAUCAUGGACAGGACCAACAAGCAGGUCUGUGUAAUGAUGUGAUCCCAGGAUCUCUGUGCUUGUGCCUUGAUCCAGAAGUGCCUGUCUACAGAGGGGACAUCAGCAGCUAGCCCGAGAGUUGGGAGCAGUAUCAGCCAGUUCAAGUCUGCCAUGUCCGUAUUCCUUCUUCUCCUACAACAGGUGCUUAAGAUAUUUAUUCAGAUUGACUUGGUAGCUGUGAGGUGAGAAAAUGGAGAAUAUGGAAGAUAUGAUUCAAGGUGAGGUCGUUGAGGCAGACAAGAAAAGCUGUGGUCUGAAUGUAGUUGGUGCCUGUCAUGGUGGCAACCCUAGGACCCGCUGAUGGACUCCAAUGGUGAGGGAAGCUGUCAAGUUGAAGAAGGAGUCCUUCCGAGCAAUGCUCACGAACUGGACUUCUGAUAUGGCUGAGAGGAUAUCAAGGCACAGCCGAGUUGUGGAGUUCAUCUGGUAUGGGGACUCAGACAUGGUGUCUCUGCUGUUUGCAGAUGAUGUCCUUCUUGCUUCUUCAGACUGUGAUCUCUGAUAUGCACUCAAACUUUUUGCAACUGAGUGUGAAACGGCUAGGAUGAGACUCAGCAGCUCCAAAUCAGAGGUCAUGGUCCUGUCCUGGAAUAAAGUGGACUGGUCUCUCCAGGUGAGGGAGGACCAGCUGCCCGUAGUGGAUGAGUUCAAGUAUCUAGGGGUCUUGUUCACAAGUUAUGGCAAGCGGCAGUGGCAGUGAUGUGGGCGCUGUACCAAUCCAUAGUGGUGAAGCAGGAGCUGAGAUCUCAGAUGAAGGUCUCGGUUUUCAGGUCAGUCUAUGUCCCCAUCCUUACCUAUGGUCAUGAACUGUGGGUAAUGAUCAAAAGGACGAGAUUGAGGGUACAAGCAGCGGAAAUGAGGUUUCUCUGCAGGGUGCCUGGGCUUACUCUCCGAGACGGGGUGAGGAGCUCGGCUAUGUGGGAAGGCCUCAGAGUAGACCAACUACUCCUCUGGAUCAAAAGGAGCCAGUUGAGGUGGCUUGGGCACCUGAUAAAGAUGCCCCCUGGGAGGCUUCCAUUGGAACUAUACUGGGCACAUCUCACUGGGUGGAGUCCCCUGAUGCUGACUCAGGACACGCUGGAGGGAUUAUAUCUCCCGGCUGGCCUGGGAAUGCUGGAGAAUCCCCUGGGAGGAACUGGGACCUGUUGUGGAGGAAAAGGAGGUCUGGUCCUCCCUACUCACCAGGAAAAGUGGCAUAAAGGAAAAAAGAAGAUGAUGAUGCACAUUUUACAUUAUAGUUAUCAGAAUACUUUACCUGGACAUGUUCUGAUACAUUUUGGUUCUUAAAUUGAAAAGCAGGCAGUGCAAAAACAUAUAAAAUGAACUGAGACAAAUUCUGCUCUCAUUAAAACUGAUGCACUUCCUCUGGUGUAAAUCAGAGCAAAAUUUAGCCCUACAAAUAUAUCUUUAAAGACUAAUCAGGUAAAUUUAUUUAAUAAUAUCAAGACUCAUUUGGAAAGUGCACAAUCCAUAAUUAGCUUCCUUUUUCAAAAAGGUUGUUAAAAAUGUAGUUUCAGAGCAGAUUACAGUUCACUUCUGGUUUAUGUGUGCAUGAAAUAAGUGAUUUGCGCUACAGUGCAGUUUUAGAGAUUACCCAAAAAUGAACAUUA
Long non-coding RNA from Mauremys reevesii (Reeves's turtle), 1823 nucleotides. RefSeq lists it as uncharacterized. The transcript is spliced from 6 exons. The record is from RefSeq and is a predicted model, not a curated record. Lineage: Eukaryota; Metazoa; Chordata; Testudines; Geoemydidae.